CGGGUGCACUGAUCCGGGCCGGGCCUUUCCCUCUGUGGAACCCCAUGGCCUUCACUGGCUGUGCGGGGGAAACAGGACUUUUACUGUGAAAAAAUUAGAGUGCUCCAGGCAGGCCUAUGCUCGAAUACAUUAGCAUGGAAUAAUAGAAUAGGACGCGUGGUUCUAUUUUGUUGGUUUCUAGGACCGCCGUAAUGAUUAAUAGGGACAGUCGGGGGCAUCAGUAUUCAAUUGUCAGAGGUGAAAUUCUUGGAUCUAUUGAAGACUAACUACUGCGAAAGCAUUUGCCAAGGAUGUUUUCAUUGAUAAGGAACGAAAGUUAGGGGAUCGAAGACGAUCAGAUACCGUCGUAGUCUUAACUAUAAACUAUGCCGACUAGGGAUCGGACGAUGUUAUUUCUUGACGCGUUCGGCACCUUUCGAGAAAUCAAAGUGCUUGGGCUCCAGGGGGAGUAUGGUCGCAAGGCUGAAACUUAAAGAAAUUGACGGAAGGGCACCACCAGGGGUGGAACCUGCGGCUUAAUUUGACUCAACACGGGGAAACUCACCAGGUCCAGACACAGUGAGGAUUGACAGAUUGAGAGCUCUUUCUUGAUUCUGUGGGUGGUGGUGCAUGGGCCGUUCUUAGUUGGUGGAGUGAUUUGUCUGCUUAAUUGCGAUAACGAACGAGACCUUAACCUGCUAAAUAGCCCGUACUGCUCUGGCAGUUCGCCGGCUUCUUAGAGGGACUAUCGG
RNAcentral lists this ribosomal RNA (731 nucleotides) under uncultured eukaryote. RNAcentral describes it as "SSU rRNA". It matches the Rfam family "Eukaryotic small subunit ribosomal RNA", at positions 669 to 1426 of the family's 1831-position model. The record is from RNAcentral.